This 712-nucleotide ribosomal RNA is filed under the name uncultured Serratia sp. RNAcentral describes it as "bacterial SSU rRNA". It matches the Rfam family "Bacterial small subunit ribosomal RNA", at positions 768 to 1480 of the family's 1533-position model. The record is from RNAcentral. Lineage: Bacteria; Pseudomonadati; Pseudomonadota; Gammaproteobacteria; Enterobacterales; Yersiniaceae.
GCGAACGGGAUUAGAUACCCUGGUAGUCCACGCCGUAAACGAUGUCGACUUGGAGGUUGUUCCCUUGAGGAGUGGCUUCCGGAGCUAACGCGUUAAGUCGACCGCCUGGGGAGUACGGCCGCAAGGUUAAAACUCAAAUGAAUUGACGGGGGCCCGCACAAGCGGUGGAGCAUGUGGUUUAAUUCGAUGCAACGCGAAGAACCUUACCUACUCUUGACAUCCAGAGAACUUAGCAGAGAUGCUUUGGUGCCUUCGGGAACUCUGAGACAGGUGCUGCAUGGCUGUCGUCAGCUCGUGUUGUGAAAUGUUGGGUUAAGUCCCGCAACGAGCGCAACCCUUAUCCUUUGUUGCCAGCGGUUAGGCCGGGAACUCAAAGGAGACUGCCAGUGAUAAACUGGAGGAAGGUGGGGAUGACGUCAAGUCAUCAUGGCCCUUACGAGUAGGGCUACACACGUGCUACAAUGGCGCAUACAAAGAGAAGCGACCUCGCGGGAGCAAGCGGACCUCAUAAAGUGCGUCGUAGUCCGGAUUGGAGUCUGCAACUCGACUCCAUGAAGUCGGAAUCGCUAGUAAUCGUAGAUCAGAAUGCUACGGUGAAUACGUUCCCGGGCCUUGUACACACCGCCCGUCACACCAUGGGAGUGGGUUGCAAAAGAAGUAGGUAGCUUAACCUUCGGGAGGGCGCUUACCACUUUGUGAUUCAUGACUGGGG